RNAcentral lists this unclassified non-coding RNA (433 nucleotides) under soil metagenome. RNAcentral describes it as "partial contains 5.8S ribosomal RNA, internal transcribed spacer 2, and large subunit ribosomal RNA". The stretch from base 1 to 120 matches the Rfam family "5.8S ribosomal RNA", at positions 35 to 154 of the family's 154-position model. The record is from RNAcentral.
GAUGAAGAACGUAGCGAAAUGCGAUACGUAAUGUGAAUUGCAGAAUUCAGUGAAUCAUCGAAUCUUUGAACGCAUAUUGCGCUCUCUGGUAUUCCGGAGAGCAUGCUUGUUUGAGUAUCAGUAAACACCUCAACUUCCAUAUCUUUUUUAAAAUGGGAGUUGGACUUGAGUGAUCCCAACGCUUUUCCUCACCGAAAAGUGGCGGGUUACUUGAAAUGCAGGUGCAGCUGGACUUUUCUCUGAGCUAUAAGCAUAUCUAUUUAGUCUGCCUAAAAAACAGAUUAUUACCUUUGCUGCAGCUAACAUAAAGGAGAUUAGUUCUUGUGCUGACUGAUGCAGGAUUCACAAAGACAGGCUUCGGCCGACUUUGUAAACUCGAUCUCAAAUCAAGUAAGACUACCCGCUGAACUUAAGCAUAUCAAUAAGCGGAGGA